Molecule: long non-coding RNA, 1497 nt
Filed under: Corvus moneduloides (New Caledonian crow)
Lineage: Eukaryota; Metazoa; Chordata; Aves; Passeriformes; Corvidae
Description: lncRNA (ENSCMUG00000018862.1)
Source: RNAcentral
AUGAGCUGCACACAGUUUGCCUUCCCCUGUUUUUAUUGGAAAGCAGUGCUGGAGACAAAAGUGCAGAGCUUGGGUCGGGCACGAAUUCUACAGGCAGGGAAUGUGGCCCGGCAGUGUCUGACCCUCAGCAGGGACAAGGCACAGCAGCAGCCGAGGGGAUUCCUCUGCCACCGUGCAGGAGCCAGGACUCUGGAUCCGGGCUGGACACGGCAAAGUUCCCGUGUUUGCACAGACUCAGGGGCUGCCCCCGGAGCGAGCGGGGCUCGGCCGUGGGGAGCGUGGGGAGAGCGGGGAACGGACACUCGGACACGCGGACACGCGGACACUCGGACACAUGGACAAACGGCCCCGCCGCUUCAGUUGCAGCGGCAGCGGCGGCAGCGGCGGCAGCGAAAUCGCAAGCGACUCUACACUCUCCGUUUCUUGCUCUUGCUCCUCCUCUCCCUCUAUUCCGCACCUUCUCCCCGCCUCCCCUUCCCGGUGUCCCCCUCCUCUCUCGGUGUCCCUUUCCCGGUGGCCCCCUCCUUUCCCGGUGUCCCCGUCCUCUCCCGGACUCUCCCCCUCCCCCUGCCGGGCCGGGCCAUGCCCCAGGCCCGCCCCCGGCCCCGGGCGGGGCCGCCCCCUCCCCGGCCCCGGGCGUCCCGCCGCGGUCUGGCCUCCGCCCGGCUCUCGCCGUCCUGGCUGUGGCGCUGCCGGGCGGGCAUCAGUGCCCGGGGCUGGGGCGGCAUCUCCACCCUUUGGCUCCGCCUGUCCCGAGCCCGGCCCCGGCCCCGACGCGGGGUCCCGAGCCCGGCCCUGGCUCCGGCCUCGGCUCCGGCCCCGGCUCCUCCCGGGGCCCGCGGAGGACACACGGGGCGCGGCCGCUCCCGCCGCCUCCGCUGCGGCUUCCCCGGCCCGAGCUCCGCCGCUCGGCAGCGCGGCCGCCGGCCCCGAGCCGCCGGUGUCCCGUUCGGAUGGGGAUGCCCGGGCCGGGGCGGUCGGGGGCCGUGUCUGGCCCCGGGCCGAGCGCUGACGGCCGCGUGUCGCCCGCAGGCAAGGCGCAGGAGGCCCUGCAGGAGCGGUACCGGCUGGGUUCGCUGCUGGGCAGCGGCGGCUUCGGCAGCGUCUUCUCGGGCACGCGGCUCGCGGACGGCGCCCCGGUGGCCAUCAAAUGCGUGCCGCGGGACCGCGUCCGGCACUGGGGCGAGCUGCCCGACGGCGCCCGUGCGCCCCUGGAGAUCGUGCUGCUGGACAAGGUGUCCACUGGGUUCUGUGGUGUCAUCCGGCUCCUGGAGUGGGUUGAGCUGCCCAGCAGCUUCUUGCUGGUGCUGGAGCGUCCGGAGCGGUGUCAGGACCUGUCGGGUUUGCUGGCGGAGCGGAGGUUCGUGCCCGAGGAGGAGGCGCGGGGGCUGUUCGGCCAGGUGCUGGAGGCCGUGCGGCACUGCACCAGCUGCGGGGUCCUGCACCGGGACAUCAAGCCCGAGAACAUCCUGCUCGACCUGGCCACCGGGCAGCUGA